CGACGCCGCGUGGGGGAUUGAAGCUUUUCGGAGUGUAAACCCCUUUCGACCCGGACGAAAACCUCGCAAGAGGAUUGACGGGUUACCGGGUAUUAAGAAGCCCCGGACUAACCUACGUGC
Molecule: ribosomal RNA, 120 nt
Filed under: uncultured bacterium
Lineage: Bacteria
Description: partial 16S ribosomal RNA
Source: RNAcentral